AACGAACGCUGGCGGCAGGCUUAACACAUGCAAGUCGAACGCCCCGCAAGGGGAGUGGCAGACGGGUGAGUACCGCGUGGGAACAUACCCUUUUCUAUGGAAUAGCUCUGGGAAACUGGAAUUAAUACCGUAUACGCCCUACGGGGGAAAGAUUUAUCGGGGAAGGAUUGGCCCGCGUUGGAUUAGCUAGUUGGUGGGGUAAAGGCCUACCAAGGCGACGAUCCAUAGCUGGUCUGAGAGGAUGAUCAGCCACAUUGGGACUGAGACACGGCCCAAACUCCUACGGGAGGCAGCAGUGGGGAAUAUUGGACAAUGGGCGCAAGCCUGAUCCAGCCAUGCCGCGUGAGUGAUGAAGGCCUUAGGGUUGUAAAGCUCUUUCACCGAUGAAGAUAAUGACGGUAGUCGGAGAAGAAGCCCCGGCUAACUUCGUG
RNAcentral lists this ribosomal RNA (431 nucleotides) under uncultured bacterium. RNAcentral describes it as "partial 16S ribosomal RNA". It matches the Rfam family "Bacterial small subunit ribosomal RNA", at positions 29 to 507 of the family's 1533-position model. The record is from RNAcentral.